Molecule: ribosomal RNA, 775 nt
Filed under: uncultured Neocallimastigales
Lineage: Eukaryota; Fungi; Neocallimastigomycota; Neocallimastigomycetes; Neocallimastigales
Description: partial large subunit ribosomal RNA
Rfam family: Eukaryotic large subunit ribosomal RNA
Source: RNAcentral
UAUGUGAUCGUCUCUCGCAUAUCAAUAAGCGGAGGAAAAGAAACUAACAAGGAUUCCCCUAGUAACGGCGAGUGAAGCGGGAAGAGCUCAAAUUUGAAAUCUUAAAGGGUUUCCCUUUACGAAUUGUAGUUUAAAGAAGUGUUUUCUGUUGAGGUUUUGGUAAAAGUUCUUUGGAAUAGGACAUCAUAGAGGGUGAGAAUCCCGUAUUUGACCUUUACUUUCAACUUUGUGAUACACUUUCAAAGAGUCGGAUUGUUUGGGAAUGCAGUCCAAAAUGGGUGGUAAAUUUCAUCUAAAGCUAAAUAUUGGCGAGAGACCGAUAGCGAACAAGUACCGUGAGGGAAAGAUGAAAAGAACUUUGAAAAGAGAGUUAAACAGUACGUGAAAUUGUCAAAAGGGAAGCGUUUGACACCAGUGUUGUUUUUCUGAAAAUCAAUUAAAGAACUGUUUAUGCUAAGUUGUUUAGACUUUAUCAGCUAAUCUGUUUAGUUUUGAGCUUUUCUUUAAUGCACUUUUCAGUUAACAAGUCAACAUCAAUUUCUUUUGCUGUAAAAAAGCUUGAGGAAGGUGGCUUGAGAUUCGUCUUAAGUGUUUAUAGCCUCUUGCCUAUGCAGUCGGAGAGAUUGAGGUCUGCAGCGUAGAUCCUUCGGGGCUAAAUGCAUUUGUGCUAAGUUAUAGCAUUUUAUAGACAACUUGUUGACUAUGAUUUGUCUUGUAGCUUACUCGCUUAUGUUAUUCUACCUACGCUUAGGAUGUUGACUGAUAUGUAGUCGUA